RNAcentral lists this transfer RNA (66 nucleotides) under Ornithodoros tartakovskyi. RNAcentral describes it as "tRNA-Gln". The record is from RNAcentral. Lineage: Eukaryota; Metazoa; Arthropoda; Arachnida; Ixodida; Argasidae.
UAAUUCUUGGUGUAAGGCACGUUAAAUUUUGAUUUUAAAGGUAAUAGGUCAGUCUAUUGGAAUUAA